ACUCUGUAGUCUCUGUAUAACACUCAUCUUCUCAAUCAACAUAUCCCCGAGCAACUGUUUAUCUGAAAAGGGUUAAUGAUAGGGUGAGCAUUUCCACUUGCUCAGUAGUGACUCACAUUUCCAAAAUACUAUCUAAUCAUGCAUGACGAUUAACCAUUCUAAACAUUUGAAAGAAUGCAAGUUUUAAUAAUUGAAAGUAACUUUCUACCGUAAAUAAUCAAUAAUAUACAAGCAUUCAAACAAUAAGUCGGGUACCUGUAUCCUAUCAGCGUGCUGAGGGUACGACUGGUACUCGGCCCCCAGUCCAGGCAAUACCUUAGUUCAGUACUUACCGGUGUGAACCUGCACUGUUAGUUCCUGAUUAUCCGGUCGGGUGAUUACCGUUUUUGUGCUCGAGCACACUAGCCCUCUUCUAGGGCUCAGGUGGGCCCUCUAACCACGACGCCCCGAGGGGGGAAUCAUCUAUCACGGUGGUCAACCGUUUGACGACUACAGACUCCUCAGGAUCCUGACACACGUCAAGGAGUGGACUACCUAUCACUCCCCGCGUCUAACCUCCUCGAGGUAGCAUGUAUCCCCACAACACACUAACCAUCCACAGCAAAUACCACUAAAAGCAUGGCAAUCCAGGAAGGUAGAAGAGAAAUUCCCGAAAACAUCCUACAAUGUUCGCCUCUAGAAAGUGCCCAUUCACCGUCUAAAGGUGAAAACUGCAUAUGUAAUCUUACAAAGAACUAUCAUCUCUAGAAUAUGACAACAAUUCCUUCUUUGUAGGAAUUCAAGGAUCCCUUGCCAGACCGCCUCGUGAUACAAUAUUUAUAUAUAAUAUAUAGGGUGUCUUUUAAUAAUAAUUAAUUUAAUCUGGCAUGUGUGACGACUCCCUGAAUUUAUCAACCAUCAAACCAGUCCUCUAUUCACGGCUACCCUAACUGGGCCAAAGCCGAAGAGACUAUCCCCUAUUCCAUGGCUACCCUAACCGGGCCAAAACCAAAGGGAUUAUAAUCCGAUCUGUAAUAAUAUGUUCGUGUAAGCACCGAGAUCAUAUUCCUAAUUCAGGAACCUCACACCAUACCAACAUACAACUGGGAUCCCACAUCCCACAUACAAAAUCCAUCUCUUUUUUCCCAUCCUGGAAAAGAGAUGCAAUAAAAACUUCAAUAGCUUUUCCGUUUAUAAAACCAUUUCAAUAGACAUAUACUGUUUUAAUAACUCCAGUAUAAAACAUGAUAUCUAUAACUAAUCCUUUUAAUAGAACUACAAUCGAUAAACCACGAGUAAUCUAUAUAUACCAAACAAAACCAUGCAUGCAUUUUUAUCAUCAAUAAUAUAUCAAUUAAUUUGCAACAUUUAAAAUAUGACACAUGAAAAGACAGUAUAAAAGAAAUGUAAGUCCAUACCUUAUCGUGCUCCUGAAUAUCACGUUCCAAUCCAAAUACCCGAGUUAGUCCAAUGUCCCCCUCUCGUAAUUGACAUCAAAUCCCUACAAACAAAUUGAUCAUUCAAAUCACCGAAAGAUGUUAUUCGAGGAACCACACUCUAUGUACUUCGUUUAAUUAGCCAUAAGCAAUUGCGCCGGCAAAGCCACUAAGACUAGAAAGUACUUCCCAUUCCAGGUGACAUUCUAUCACCUUCUUCCUAUUUCUUUUAUAUUUUUCCUGAAAUCUCCCAAAGCCUGCCACCUUCUUGAGCACUUGAUUAAUCGAACAAACUAAAACUAAAAGAAAAUCAACUAUACCAGUAAGUUAAUUAAGUUGGUCACCUCCCUUAAUUCAUAUUAGGCUUCCACAACUCGCAUGAGAAAGAAUCUAAGUCCAAAUACAUGUUACUAAAAUGGACAACUAGCUAUAUAUGCCUAAAAACAAGUUCUAAAACAUGAGAAUGUACCCGUCAGAACUGAAGCUUCUCUAGCUCUUGCAACAAAAAACCUUGGCAAGACAAUUACUUAGAAGGUCAACAACAUGAAUUUCUAUGAUGAAACCCCUGGUUCAUCUCUCUUUCCUUUCUUCAUCCUUAUUCCCUUGCUUUUCUUACUUUAACCUAGUUGAUAAGCUCAAUAAUAUGGACAAGUUCAUUUUUUUUUUUUUAAUGGUAAUUGACCAUGUGUGAGCUCUGCUACCGUGACUUAGGUUAGGUUACUCCCAAGUAACUUAGCUACUCCCCCACCCCUUUUUAGCACUUUUCUUUCCUAAAACAGCCAACCUUAUCCGUUUGAAGUUUGAACUCAAUUCACCGCCUUUUUUUAGCCAAUUCUGGCAUUUCUCAGCCCUAAACCUUGUUUUCCCCGGUGAUCAUGGCAGAUCUUGAACCCCAAAGCUCCCCAAUUUCUCCAGACCUAGCUUUCAACAAACACACAACCACCCAUAACCCCCUUAAUUCUGUCGUCACCCGUUCCUCUUCGUAUGGAACCAAGCUUGUCUAUAAUGGCCACACCCCCACCACAAUUAAAUGCUCAUUUUCAACAGGAACAAAAGGAAAUCGACGGAUCUGAGAAGGAAACUUGUGGAUCCAAGAAGGAAAAGUCUGAAGCUGAAGAAACAAGUAACUAAGCACCCACAACACAGAGAUGGAGCUCUCUGCUUCGUAAGCUGCCACCAUCGGCUGGUAAGGAUGAAUUAACUUUCAUAGAAUCCAAUUUUGAGCAUAAUCAACUUAUAGUAGAAGAAGAUAUCCUAGAAGAAGGAGCUAAGGAAUGGGAAAGUAGAGUGGUGGGUUUCUUCCUUGAUAAGAAACUACCAUACACACUAGUGAAAGACAUGGUUAUCAAGAAGUGGAAACCAAGGGGAAGUAAUUAUGUAGCCCUUGAUGGGGACAUGUUCUAUUUCAACUUUAACAAUGACGAAGAUCGGGAGGAGGUCGUUGAAGAAGGUCCAAUUGUUUUGGGAGGCAAGCUCUUUGUAGUACGAGCAUGGACAAGGGAAGUUGAAGAAAAUAGGGGGUCUGUUAACAGAGUUCCAGUAUGGGUUAAACUUUUCAAUGUGCCGAAGCAUCUUUGGAACAAAAAGGGAGUAAGCUAUCUUGGAAGUGUUAUAGGAAGACCGAUGUGUAUGGAUAGAACCAUAGAAGAGAAACAAAUGUUGACUUUUGCCAGAAUUUGUGUCGAAGUAGAUGCAAAAUCUACACUACCAGAUGAGAUCAAAUUGAAGACAAGAACAAGGAAGGAGUUGGUCAUACAUCUGGAGUACCCAUGGAAACCUUUACUUUGUACUGUAUGUAAAGUGUUUGGUCAUAGUGACAAUGGUUGUGAAAGGAAGAUCCCUGAGAAGAACAAGAGCAAGAAGAAACAAGUCAAUGCAGAUAGGGAAGAAGGGGAAUGGAUAGAGCCAGCAAAAGUAUGGAGGAAGAAACAUAAUGGAAACCACAAUUACCAACAAAACUCCAAAAACUGGAACUUAAACAAAGAGAAAGCCCAAACAAUACCAUCGGCUCAUGGUUAUAAGGUUAAGAACCAUAAUGCAGAGGCUUCUACUAGCAAGACUCACCACAAGGAAAAGACACCCAUACAACCAAGGAAGCCAACAACUACUACACAAGUAGAAAUACUGAAAAUUACAAGCAAUAAAUUCGAAGUCCUCGGCAACAUACAGGGGAAAGAACAAGUAAAUCAUGAGAAAGCAAUUGUUAUUGUAGGAACAGAAGAUGAUGAAACAUGGGAUGACACUGGGGAGAGUAAUGAAACUGACAAAUCAAACAGUGGCAAUGAACUGGAGGAGGGCACUGCAAGGCAGGUACAGAGGCCGCCAUGCCCAGACCCAUCUCAAUAUUUACUAUGCAAUAUACCAGAAAAACCAGUACAAAGUACAAGAAGAAGUGUGAGGCAGGCAAAAAGGGGGGAAGCUAAACUGAAGGAGACAACUCAGUUGGUGGAGGGAGACAAAACUGCAGGAAAGACUGCAGGCAAGAAAAAAAUUCUUAAGUGAUAUGGCUAGCAACUUAGCUACCUGGAAUAUCAUAGGACUCAAUAACCCCAGGAAAACUAAUGAGGUAAGGAAGUUAAUUACAGAUCAUUAUUUAAAAUUGGUUGGCCUUUUAGAAACUAAGGUGAAAGCUAGGAAUACAAACAUGGUACUUAGAAGAAUUAAUGACUGGAGUAGUGUCAAUAAUAACUCCAAGGACCAUAGAGGAAGGAUUUGGGUACUUUGGACCCAAAAUGUAUGACAGUACAAGUGAGUUACCUAACUGAUCAAGCAAUUCAUUGUGUGGUGGAGGAUAAGGUAGCUAAAACUGUGUACAGAAUGUCAGUAAUUUAUGGAAGGAAUACAAGAAGAGAAAGAAGUGUUCUGUGGGAAGACUUAAAACACUAUGCUAGAGGGAUUCCCAAUAACCAACCAUGGUUAUUGAUGGGAGAUUUCAAUGCAUGUAAAGAAAUUUCAGAGAAUGUUGGUGGAUCAAGACUACAUGACAGAGAUAUGAGAGACCUUUCAAAUUGCAUGGAAACAUGUGGCCUUGAAGAUCUUAAAGCAUGUGGCAGCUUUUACACAUGGACUAACAGAUCAGAAGGGCAAGAUAGAGUUUUAUGCAAACUUGACAGAUGUUUGGUUAAUGAUGCAUGAAACAAUUUCUUUCCAGGGGCUGGAGCACUUUUCUUAGAGCAUGGGGUUUCUGAUCACUCUGCCAUUGCUCUCAAAUGGCCGCAUAAUAUUGGUAAAAGGCACACACCCUUUAGGUUCUUCAAUCAUUGGAUUUUACAUGCUGAAUUCAAGGAGCUGGUUGUAGAAACGUGGAACUGUGAAGUAAUGGGAAACCCUAUGAUAAGAUUAUACUAUAAACUGAAGAUUCUUAAAGCUAAACUUAAAGAAUGGAGUAAGUCAAACUUCUUGGACUUAUAUAAUAGAGUGGUCCAAGGAAGGGAGGCAAUGAGCAGAAUCCAAACAGAAAUUCAAGUGCAUCCACUAUAUAGCAAUCUAGCAGCACUUGAGAAGGAAGCCAUCAGUGAAUAUAAAAGAUACGCUGCAACAGAGGAGUCAUCGCUACAACCAAAAACAAGUGCCAGUUGGGCUUGCUUGGGUGAUGAUAACACAAGUUUCUUCCACAAGAAAGUAAAAGGGUACCAAAUCAGAAACUCAAUACACAGUAUUGUGGAUCAACAAAGAACUCUGACUGAUAAGGAAGACAUUGCAAACCUCUCUGUUAGUCAUUUCAAACAGGUACAACUUGAUAGAGUGGUCCCAGAAGAGAUGAAACAAGCUAUGUGUGAGGAGGUUACUGAACAAGAGAUUAAACAUGCAAUUUUUGCCAUUCCUGAUGACAAGUCUGCUGGACCAGAUGGGUUCAAUUCUAAAUUCUAUAAAGCUUGCUGGGAAGUGGUAGGUGCAGGAUGUGACAAAGGCAAUACAAAAUUUCUUCAAUGCAGGUAAGAUGUUGAGAGGAGGUAAUACAACUCUUAUUAGUUUGAUUCCAAAGGUGCAAAUGCUAAAUAUAGUGAAGGAUUACAGACCAAUCUCAUGCUGCAACGUCAUAUACAAAGGGAUAUCUAAAUUCAUUGUAAACAGAAUCAAAGAUGCAAUGUCGGGACUCACUGAACCAAACCAAGGUACCUUCAUACAUGGGAGAAACAUAACAGACAAUAUUAUAAUUUCCCAUGAGCUGCUGCGCAAAUACAAGAGGAGGAAUUCAAGUGCUAGAUGUACUAUUAAGAUAGACAUACAAAAAGCAUAUGACUUCAUAAGAUGGAACUUAAUCAUUGAAGUGUUGAGUAUGAUGCGAUUCCUAGAAAAGAUGAUCAAUUGGAUCAAAGUAUGUUUAUCCACUGUACAUUACUCACUCUUAGUGAAUGGGAAGGUUGAAGGUUUCUUCAAGGGUGAUUUAGGUUUUGGUCACCACUUUUUAGUAUCAAUUUGGUUCUGGAGCCGGUUUUUAUCUUNNNNNNNNNNNNNNNNNNNNNNNNNNNNNNNNNNNNNNNNNNNNNNNNNNNNNNNNNNNNNNNNNNNNNNNNNNNNNNNNNNNNNNNNNNNNNNNNNNNNGAUGGCUGGAAUUACCUCUAAGCUGGCGUUUGUUACAAAAACUAUAUUAGGGUUAGUGAUCACGUGCAGAUCACGUGAGUUUCAGGGGUAAAAUUAGGUAUUUUGAAAAUAUUUUCGGUUCAACCGGGUUUUUUUAGUUGUUGGUUCGAAAAUGAGCUCUAAACCCUAAUAAAGAUAAAAACCGGCUCCAAAACCUAAUUUAUACUAAAAAGUGGUGACCAAAACCUAAAUCACCCUUUCUUCAAAGGUGAGAAGGGGCUCAGGCAAGGAGACCCUCUCUCACCUUUGCUCUUUGUGCUAGCAAUGGAAGUGUUUGGAAGCAUGCUGAAGACUCAAUACAAUGAAGGGAAUUUCUCACUGCACCCGAAAUGUAUGGAUCCUCUCAUUACCCAUUUAACAUUUGCGGAUGAUCUAAUGAUAUUUUGUAGGGCAAAAGUCGAGACAGCUGAGACAAUAAGAGACACUCUGGCACUCUUCUACAACUACUCAGGACUCACUAUCAACCCUCUCAAAAGCUCCAUCAUAUUUGGAGGUACAAAUGAAGUAACACAAGCCGAAUUUGCUCACCUUCUCAAUAUGCCAAUUGUGGAACCUCCAGUGGUGUAUCUAGGUUUGCCUCUCACUUCAACAAGGCUCCACAUCUCAGACUGUCAAGGGCUAACUGAAAGCUUCAAGAAGAAAAUUUCAAACUAGGUAAACAAGUUACUCUCCUUUGCUGGAAGGAUGCAGCUCAUUCAAUCAGUGCUUGCAAGCACUGCUGUUUAUUGGUUUAGAGUGUUUCUACUACCUCAAGCAGUAAUUACAGAGCUGAACAGAAUCUGCAGUAAGUUCCUAUGGUCUGGACCAGACAUGGGAAGGAAGAAGCACUAUGUUAGCUAGAAACAAUGUUGCCUAAGUAAGAAGGAAGGGGGACUUGGUAUGAAAAACAUGAAAGAAUGGAACCAAGCUUAUGUUGGGAAGAGUGCAUUUAAAAUUGCUACUAACAUUGAUUCUCUAUGGGUUAAGUGGGCUCACAAACACUUAAUCAAGAGAAAUUAUUAUUGGGCAAUGGAUAUUCCAGCUGACUGUUCUCAUGGGUGGAGGGGUAUUUUGAGUUGUAGAGAUAUAAUACAGUCUCAAGUUACUUUCCAAAUUGCCACAGGACAUGAUACUAAGGUAUGGCAUGACCCAUGGCUCGAAGGCGGUGUGCUCAGGAAAAGAGUUCAAACCAUUGACAGGAGGGCAUCAACCAUCAGAGAUAAUGCAAAUGUAAGCAUCCUCAUAAGAAAUAACUCCUGGAAUCUUCCUCAGACAGACAACAUAGCAGUGACAACACUUUGGAGUGAGAUACAAGAAGUGAAUAUCAAUAACAUGGAGGAGAAGGACACUAUAUGCUGGAGACCACACCCUAGGGGCAUCUACACAAUUAGAACUACUUACUGUAUGCUAAAACCAAGGGCUGUUAAGUUAAAAUGGAGUAACGUGGUGUGGAACAGAAGAAUCACUCCAAACCUGUUUUCAUCACAUGGCUGACAAUGCAAAAUAGACUCAUAACACAAGAUAAGUUGUACCAAUGGGGGCUACUGAAAGAAACAAAU
RNAcentral lists this long non-coding RNA (7537 nucleotides) under Aquilegia coerulea. RNAcentral's name for it is "long non-coding RNA (ACOE_LNC000508)". The record is from RNAcentral. Lineage: Eukaryota; Viridiplantae; Streptophyta; Magnoliopsida; Ranunculales; Ranunculaceae.